RNAcentral lists this ribosomal RNA (497 nucleotides) under uncultured bacterium. RNAcentral's name for it is "partial 16S ribosomal RNA". It matches the Rfam family "Bacterial small subunit ribosomal RNA", at positions 28 to 507 of the family's 1533-position model. The record is from RNAcentral.
GAUGAACGCUGGCGGCGUGCCUAAUACAUGCAAGUCGAGCGAACGGACGAGAAGCUUGCUUUUCUGAUGUUAGCGGCGGACGGGUGAGUAACACGUGGAUAACCUACCUAUAAGACUGGGAUAACUUCGGGAAACCGGAGCUAAUACCGGAUAAUAUUUUGAACCGCAUGGUUCAAAAGUGAAAGACGGUCUUGCUGUCACUUAUAGAUGGAUCCGCGCUGCAUUAGCUAGUUGGUAAGGUAACGGCUUACCAAGGCAACGAUGCAUAGCCGACCUGAGAGGGUGAUCGGCCACACUGGAACUGAGACACGGUCCAGACUCCUACGGGAGGCAGCAGUAGGGAAUCUUCCGCAAUGGGCGAAAGCCUGACGGAGCAACGCCGCGUGAGUGAUGAAGGUCUUCGGAUCGUAAAACUCUGUUAUUAGGGAAGAACAUAUGUGUAAGUAACUGUGAACAUCUUGACGGUACCUAAUCAGAAAGCCACGGCUAACUACGUG